UGUAAUCACGUUCUAACCUUUUGACCGUCAACUUAAAUGACCGUAAGCAAGCUUUCGGCACCUAAGUAACUUUCAGAGAUCAGACGGAUAGCCUAAAAAGGUAUUCGUUGCAAUCCUCGGUCCUAAUCACCACAUCUACCAAAGGCUAUAACACUUCAACCGAAGCCGAAGCUACAUUCCUCCGGUCAUUUUAUGGCAACCAAAACCGACGUUGACCUACCAUACGAAAAAGUACACCUAAGAAAUACGCAUAUUGCAAACAAUGAAGAUCUCAUACGCCCACAAAUGC
This 289-nucleotide ribosomal RNA is filed under the name uncultured Glomeromycotina. RNAcentral describes it as "partial large subunit ribosomal RNA". Lineage: Eukaryota; Fungi; Glomeromycota. The record is from RNAcentral.